Long non-coding RNA from Oenanthe melanoleuca, 766 nucleotides. RefSeq lists it as uncharacterized. The record is from RefSeq and is a predicted model, not a curated record. The transcript has 2 exons. NCBI's taxonomy places the organism in Eukaryota, Metazoa, Chordata, Aves, Passeriformes, Muscicapidae.
CCACAGCAUCCCAAAAACAUCCCAAAUCCUUCCCUAAACUCUGCUUUCUGCUGAAGUCACAGAAGAAAUUGAGUCUAAGUCACUUUUUAUCUGAAAUAUUUCAGCCUGGGGUAAGGGAAAGGAAGGAGUUUCUCUUCCUAUUUUUCUGGACUUGGCAGAUUUGUGCAGGAAAUAAAAUUAAAAAGAAAGAGAAACUGCCUGAAGUGAAAGGGAGGAGAGGAAAUCUUGUUUAUAGCUGGUUCUAAACCUGGUUUUAGGGAAAAUUAAGUACCUGAAGUGAAAGAAAUGAGAGAAAAUAAUGCUUAGAGCUGGUUCUAAACCAGGUUUUAGGGCAAAUUAACUGCCUGAAGUGAAAGGGGGGAAAGGAAAUAUUGCUUAGAUCUGGUUCUAAACCUGGUUUUAGGGCAAAUUAGCUGCCUGAAAUGAAAAGGAGGGAGGAAAUAUUGCUCAGAGCUGGUUUUAAACCAGAUUUUAGGGAAAAUUAAUGCCUGAAUUGAAAGGGGGGAAAGGAAAUUUUGCUUAGGGCUGGUUUUAAACCAGGUUUUAGGGAAAGUUAACUGUCUGAAAUGAAAGGAAGGAGAUGAAAUCUUGUUUAGAUCUGGAUUUAAACCAGGUUGUAGGGAAAGUUAACUGCCUAAAGGGAAAAGGAGGGAGGAAAUCUUGUUUAGAGCUGGUUCUAAACUUGGUUUUAGGGAAAGUUUCCUGCCUGAAGUGAAAGGAAGGAGAGGAAAUCUUGCUUAGAGCUGGUUUUAAACCUGGUUUUAGG